This 29-nucleotide non-coding RNA is filed under the name Homo sapiens (human). Lineage: Eukaryota; Metazoa; Chordata; Mammalia; Primates; Hominidae. The record is from RNAcentral.
UGGAGACACGAGGUAAAAUUGGUCUUGGA